GUGAGGAAUAUUGGUCAAUGGGCGGGAGCCUGAACCAGCCAAGUCGCGUGAAGGAAGAAGGAUCUAUGGUUCGUAAACUUCUUUUGCAGGGGAAUAAAGUGCAGGACGUGUCCUGUUUUGUAUGUACCCUGAGAAUAAGGAUCGGCUAACUCCGUGCCAGCAGCCGUGGUAAUACGGAGGAUCCGAGCGUUAUCCGGAUUUAUUGGGUUUAAAGGGUGCGUAGGUGGUUUGAUAAGUCAGCGGUGAAAGUUUGCAGCUUAACUGUAAAAAUGCCGUUGAAACUGUCGGACUUGAGUGUAAAUGAGGUAGGCGGAAUGCGUGGUGUAGCGGUGAAAUGCAUAGAUAUCACGCAGAACUCCGAUUGCGAAGGCAGCUUACUAAGCUACAACUGACACUGAAGCACGAAAGCGUGGGGAUCAAACAGGAUUAGAAACCCCAGUAGUCC
Molecule: ribosomal RNA, 445 nt
Filed under: uncultured bacterium
Lineage: Bacteria
Description: partial 16S ribosomal RNA
Rfam family: Bacterial small subunit ribosomal RNA
Source: RNAcentral